GCUGGUGUAGCUCAAUUGGUAGAGCACUCGAUUUGUAAUCGAGCGGUUGGGGGUUCAAUUCCUCUCGCCAGCACCA
RNAcentral lists this transfer RNA (76 nucleotides) under Lysobacterales bacterium. Its description in RNAcentral is "tRNA-Thr". It matches the Rfam family "tRNA". From Rfam's summary of the family: Transfer RNA (tRNA) molecules are approximately 80 nucleotides in length. The record is from RNAcentral. Lineage: Bacteria; Pseudomonadati; Pseudomonadota; Gammaproteobacteria; Lysobacterales.